GAUGAACGCUAGCUACAGGCUUAACACAUGCAAGUCGAGGGGAAACGACAUCGAAAGCUUGCUUUUGAUGGGCGUCGACCGGCGCACGGGUGAGUAACGCGUAUCCAACCUGCCCACCACUUGGGGAUAACCUUGCGAAAGUAAGACUAAUACCCAAUGAUAUCUCUAGAAGGCAUCUGAAGGAGAUUAAAGAUUUAUCGGCAAUGGAUGGGGAUGCGUCCGAUUAGCUUGUUGGCGGGGUAACGGCCCACCAAGGCAACGAUCGGUAGGGGUUCUGAGAGGAAGGUCCCCCACAUUGGAACUGAGACACGGUCCAAACUCCUACGGGAGGCAGCAGUGAGGAAUAUUGGUCAAAUGGGCGAGAGCCUGAACCAGCCAAGUAGCGUGCAGGAUGACGGCCCUAUGGGUUGUAAACUGCUUUUAUGCGGGAUAAAGUGGGCCACGCGUGGCCUUUUGCAGGUACCGCAUGAAUAAGGACCGGCUAAUUCCGUG
This 492-nucleotide ribosomal RNA is filed under the name uncultured bacterium. Its description in RNAcentral is "bacterial SSU rRNA". It matches the Rfam family "Bacterial small subunit ribosomal RNA", at positions 28 to 507 of the family's 1533-position model. The record is from RNAcentral.